UGGUAGAGCUCUCAUAAAAAGUGUCACUGC
This 30-nucleotide non-coding RNA is filed under the name Mus musculus (house mouse). The record is from RNAcentral. Lineage: Eukaryota; Metazoa; Chordata; Mammalia; Rodentia; Muridae.